AGAGUUUGAUCAUGGCUCAGAACGAACGCUGGCGGCAUGCCUAACACAUGCAAGUCGAACGCACCGCAAGGUGAGUGGCGCACGGGUGAGUAACGCGUGGGAAUCUGCCCUUGGGUUCGGGAUAACAGUUGGAAACGACUGCUAAUACCGGAUGAUGACUUCGGUCCAAAGAUUUAUCGCCCAGGGAUGAGCCCGCGUCGGAUUAGCUAGUUGGUGGGGUAAAAGCUCACCAAGGCGACGAUCCGUAGCUGGUCUGAGAGGAUGAUCAGCCACACUGGGACCGAGACACGGCCCAGACUCCUACGGGAGGCAGCAGUGGGGAAUAUUGGACAAUGGGCGAAAGCCUGAUCCAGCAAUGCCGCGUGAGUGAUGAAGGCCUUAGGGUUGUAAAGCUCUUUUACCCGGGAUGAUAAUGACAGUACCGGGAGAAUAAGCCCCGGCUAACUCCGUGCCAGCAGCCGCGGUAAUAC
This 470-nucleotide ribosomal RNA is filed under the name uncultured bacterium. RNAcentral's name for it is "bacterial SSU rRNA". It matches the Rfam family "Bacterial small subunit ribosomal RNA", at positions 8 to 526 of the family's 1533-position model. The record is from RNAcentral.